This 460-nucleotide long non-coding RNA is filed under the name Panax ginseng (ginseng). RNAcentral's name for it is "long non-coding RNA (PGIN_LNC002271)". The record is from RNAcentral. Lineage: Eukaryota; Viridiplantae; Streptophyta; Magnoliopsida; Apiales; Araliaceae.
ACGGAGUAAUCUAUUACUGCCAUGGGUAGCUGCUGCACCUCAUCCUCUCGCUACUACACUUUAGCCCGUCUGCACAGUCUGGUUAUAUGGAUGUCGAAGUCCCCCUGAUGUAGUGCCCUUGGUCGCCUUUAGAAUGGACUCUUGAAUGCAGACGCCAAUAUCAAUGUCGCGACCAGUGACAAAAGAAAAUAGUAGGACCGCUCGCUCCUUGGUGACAUCGUUGUGGUGGCGAGUAGGCAUGAUAUUAGCACAGAUGAAACUGUACCAUAUCUUUCCUUAGGAACUGAGGGUAUGGUGAGGAAAGCUCGUCUUCUCCCCGGUGGAUUCAUUUGUCUUCCAUUCUGUGCCGGGUUUACAAAGCCACUUUAUGAUGUCAUCCAAGUCAUAACUGCUAAUCCCAUUCGUCAGGUACUCAUGUCGAGUCCCAUUUUCCGAGUAAUCAGAGCCCGAACGGUUAGGC